Molecule: long non-coding RNA, 1865 nt
Organism: Brienomyrus brachyistius
Lineage: Eukaryota; Metazoa; Chordata; Actinopteri; Osteoglossiformes; Mormyridae
Exons: 4
Source: RefSeq, a predicted model, not a curated record
ACCGACUCCCCAGCUGCAGAGCCUGGGAGUGAAUCAGCACUUCCUUAACUAGCACUUCGGCCGCAGUGCAUCACGCAGGUAAAUGAUUACGCAGGUGUCGCACUGUCACGCUUAAAGAUACCCUGCGAGCGCAGGAUUUUUUCACAGAAGAUACGCAUGGCGAUGCGGAACUUCCCAGAACUUGUGCAGCGUGAAGACAUGGUGGCCCAGACAGGCGGCUUGGGAUCUCCGCGCUUUUCGGACUAACCCCUGCCGAUUUAAUCGCUUGUCGCCAAGGCAGCAGGGAGUGUCACUGAUAAUAAUCACAAGAAAAACACAACGGCUUCACUGCAAAUAUAACUUCCAACAACGCUGCCUGCCCAGAGUGUCGACUGGGCCCUGCGUGUCUCCUCUGAAGCACACAGACAGGCGUGAUGGUGAGGAUUCAGGGAUCCUUUGGGAGAAAUGAAGACCCCGCUUUUUUUAGCCUCAGACCUUCAGAAAAACAGUCCUGGGAGAAGCGUGUUAACGGAGCUAUCUGCAAAAGCAAGCUAACAUACCAGUUAGCCAGAUGCCGGACAGACACGGAGGGGUCCUCUCUUCGGCGGACGGCGCGGGCAUUACGAGGCGGGAUGUGAAGAUGAAACCUCAGCCCGAAAGGGCAGCUGGGAAAGGCGUCUUGCUACUGAUACGGUAAACGGCGUCACCAACACCACGGACAACAUGAAACCCAAGGGCAAGCGGGCGCCGUCACCCGACUCCUGGGUAACACGCAUCAGUUAGCGUUACUGGCAACUGUCCUCCACUCGACACAAGCCACCUGUAGCAACCCUUUGACCAAUAAUGGUGCUCACUGUACCUGCUCCUUCAGCAGACUGGGCGGUGCCUGGAACCCGGUUAGAGAGGUGGGGUGGUGGUGCUGCUGGAUGGCUGAACCUCGUCCCCCAAGUCCUUUUGGGUUUCUAAGGCGCUGGAAGACCGGGCGAAGUCACCCGGCGUCGUCGAGCCACAUGUGGUCCAGACUGAGGGAAACAGAAACUGCUAGAAAAGGGUUACAGUAAAGAAUGCCUGACCCAUUUUUUACAUUCUUCAACCUGCUACCCCACACCAGGAAGUAAGUUACUCCGACUUAAAUAAAUAAUAUUUACUUAAAGAAAAACAACUCGUUUGUUUACAGUACUUUUCAGAGUAAUGAAUAAUUCCAGUUAUAAACACACCACAUUCAUGGGGUCUGCAGUGAUUCAUUUGUAUCUUGCAUAUCAGCUAUAACUGCAGGGCCUGCAUGGCAUUUAUCUGACCCUAAGCCUCCUGCCUGCCUGAACAAACCCUCCCCCUACUUUGAGAUCUUCUGAGGUUCGCGGCUCGAAGUUCAAAAGGUGGCUGGGGGCAUCGGCCAGCGUCUCCCCCUCACAUGAACGCAAACGGGUCCCUACCUGCCACACAGGCCCUGAAAUCCUGUCCAGCCACCAACAAGAAGCCCAUUGUGCGCAGGUAUGCAGUGGAACAUGGCUGUGUCCCUGGUGGUGGGGGGGGGGGGGGCUCUCCUGGUCACAACACCGAAACUCUCCGAUGGCCUCAUCCGCCACCCCGCCUUGCCUCCCCCUCCCUGCUCCCGUCCCCUCUCUCACACCAUAUCACCUGCCAGCCCCACCACUGCUCCCCCCAGUCCAGCUCCCAGAGCUCUCCUCCGCUACCGUCUCCUGCUGAACAACACCAAUUAGAAACAUUCCAGGAUCAAAAAAAAAAAAAACAUAGAACAGAAAGGAGAAAGACGAAAAAAACAGAAUUAGGAGGAGGAGACGAAAUGCGAUGAAGCAUAAUGACAGAGCCAGAUAGUCAGGGAACAAAGCAGGAACAGAGGGGCAGGGGACAGGAGUGGGGUGGAG